Molecule: long non-coding RNA, 676 nt
Filed under: Homo sapiens (human)
Lineage: Eukaryota; Metazoa; Chordata; Mammalia; Primates; Hominidae
Description: non-protein coding lnc-GNG11-4:1
Source: RNAcentral
CUAUGUCUGCGACUGAGAUCUUCGUAGAGCUGCAGGGCUUUUGUCUGCCUAGGAGGACAUCAGCGAGGAAAUCCAAAAAGUUGUAGAGUUUACAACAAACAGCUUAAGAGAUUGUUAACUCUACCACAACGUGUCCGUCAGGGUGCUGGGUUUCAGGGCAUUCCAAAGAGGUGUUUGAAAGCUUAGGAACAUUUUGGUACAGUAAAAACACACCCAACACCUCUGAAGAGCAAGUUGCCUGCUGAACCGUGUGCCACGAGGUUCAUGAGCACUGGAGGUUUGUGUUGCCGCAUACGGUUGUCUUCCCAGAACUUGUUGCGUGUUUGGAAACAGAAACUCCAGAAGCCAUUACAGAAAUUCGUGUCAUUGAGCCAGAUAAGGAGAAACGAUUUCAUGUGGAUGUGGAAGAUCCUCUCUCAGGAGUUCAAUUCUUGCUAGUGAGCUGCUGAGGUUGUCCCUCAGUGGCAUGAGUGCUGGAGACAACUCCCAGCCCCUCCAUGUCGCCACCUUUAACAAUGAGUGGCAUCCCAAUUUCCACCUUCUCAGCCUAAAACACUAUUCUUCUCUAAGGAAGCCUUAUGAUGGCUUGUGGUAGGACGUGAAGAAAACAGAAGAGGUAUUCUAUAUUCUCUCCAUCCAAGGCUUCAAUAAAGAGAUAGAAGCCGCUUGUACUGAA